UGUGCAGCCUGCAGGCCUCGUAGACGAUGGUGGCCAAUGUCAGACACGUGUCGGCCAUUGAGGGGUUCCUCUGAGCAUGUUCAGUCAGCACAUCGCCCAGCUCCUCAGACAAACAAAGACGACCAGCCUCAGAUCUCCCUGCUGCAGAGCACAGAUGACGCCCUGCAGAGAUAAAUCAGCUAACAGCUCACCGCCGGUCUGGACGCUGAUCAGCAGAGCUCUGAAGAACAGGAGAGAUGGAGGGACGGAGCCUGGAGGGCCCGACACACCUGACACAGGAGGAGACAGGUUCCUCAAGACUCCUGGAGGGUUUCUGGCAGCAAGUACAGCAGCUUCCUCAAACUGAGCCGAGUCAAAAAGCUCCAUGAACCUGCCAGGGAGGAGAAUUUAGUCUGACAGUCUCUAGCUGUGUGUUUGAAAAUGGACUUUAUACAACUUCUGUGCCUGGAUGGCUUGUGGAGAGGGGAUUGAUUACACAUGGCUGAAGACUGAGCUCCAGAUUACACCUGGGACUCAUGGAGCUGCAGACCUCUUUCCAGCCCUGGUCCUCCCCGCCUCCCGACACGUUGGAUUGGUCCACCACGAUGACUCCUCCUCCCAGAAGACUCCAGCAAUCACCACACACAAGUACACUAUAUUGCCAAAAGUAUUCACUCACCUGCCUUGACUUGAAUAUGAAUGUAAGUGACAUCCCAUUCCUAAUCCAUAGGGUUCAAUAUGAUGUCGGUCCACCCUUUGCAGCUAUAACAGCUUCAACUCUUCUGGGAAGGCUGUCCACAAGGUUUAGGAGUAUGUUUAUGGGAAUUUUUGACCAUUCUUCCAGAAGCGCAUUUGUGAGGUCACACACUGAUAUUGGACUAGAAGGCCUGGCUCUCAGUCUGCGCUCUAAUUCAUCCCAAUGGUUUCUAUCAGAGGUUGAGGUCAGGACUCUGUGCAGGCCAGUCAAGUUCAUCCACACCAGACUCUGUCAUCC
Molecule: long non-coding RNA, 973 nt
Organism: Acanthochromis polyacanthus (spiny chromis)
Lineage: Eukaryota; Metazoa; Chordata; Actinopteri; Pomacentridae
Exons: 5
Source: RefSeq, a predicted model, not a curated record